UACGUAGGGGGCUAGCGUUGUCCGGAAUCAUUGGGCGUAAAGAGCGUGUAGGCGGCCCGGUAAGUCCGCUGUGAAAGUCGGGGGCUCAACCCUCGGAUGCCGGUGGAUACUGUCGGGCUUGAGUACGGAAGAGGCGAGUGGAAUUCCUGGUGUAGCGGUGAAAUGCGCAGAUAUCAGGAGGAACACCAAUUGCGAAGGCAGCUCGCUGGGACGUUACUGACGCUGAGACGCGAAAGCGUGGGGAGCAAACAGG
RNAcentral lists this ribosomal RNA (253 nucleotides) under uncultured bacterium. RNAcentral's name for it is "partial 16S ribosomal RNA". It matches the Rfam family "Bacterial small subunit ribosomal RNA", at positions 524 to 776 of the family's 1533-position model. The record is from RNAcentral.